RNAcentral lists this ribosomal RNA (788 nucleotides) under uncultured Bacillus sp. RNAcentral's name for it is "bacterial SSU rRNA". It matches the Rfam family "Bacterial small subunit ribosomal RNA", at positions 97 to 870 of the family's 1533-position model. Lineage: Bacteria; Bacillati; Bacillota; Bacilli; Caryophanales; Bacillaceae. The record is from RNAcentral.
GGCGGACGGGUGAGUAACACGUGGGCAACCUGCCUGUAAGACUGGGAUAACUUCGGGAAACCGGAGCUAAUACCGGAUAAUCCUUUUCCUCUCAUGAGGAAAAGCUGAAAGACGGUUUCGGCUGUCACUCACAGAUGGGCCCGCGGCGCAUUAGCUAGUUGGUGAGGUAACGGCUCACCAAGGCGACGAUGCGUAGCCGACCUGAGAGGGUGAUCGGCCACACUGGGACUGAGACACGGCCCAGACUCCUACGGGAGGCAGCAGUAGGGAAUCUUCCGCAAUGGACGAAAGUCUGACGGAGCAACGCCGCGUGAGCGAUGAAGGCCUUCGGGUCGUAAAGCUCUGUUGUCAGGGAAGAACAAGUAUCGGAGUAACUGCCGGUACCUUGACGGUACCUGACCAGAAAGCCACGGCUAACUACGUGCCAGCAGCCGCGGUAAUACGUAGGUGGCAAGCGUUGUCCGGAAUUAUUGGGCGUAAAGCGCGCGCAGGCGGUUCCUUAAGUCUGAUGUGAAAGCCCCCGGCUCAACCGGGGAGGGUCAUUGGAAACUGGGGAACUUGAGUGCAGAAGAGGAGAGCGGAAUUCCACGUGUAGCGGUGAAAUGCGUAGAGAUGUGGAGGAACACCAGUGGCGAAGGCGGCUCUCUGGUCUGUAACUGACGCUGAGGCGCGAAAGCGUGGGGAGCGAACAGGAUUAGAUACCCUGGUAGUCCACGCCGUACACGAUGAGUGCUAAGUGUUAGAGGGUUUCCGCCCUUUAGUGCUGCAGCAAACGCAUUAAGCACUCC